GCACAAGCGGAGGAACAUGUUGGUUUAAUUCGAUGAUACGCGAGGAACCUUACCUGGGCUUAAAUGUAGAGUGCAUUUUUUAGAGAUAGAAAUUCCCUUCGGGGCUUUCUGCAAGGUGCUGCAUGGUUGUCGUCAGCUCGUGCCGUGAGGUGUCGGGUUAAGUCCCAUAACGAGCGCAACCCUUAUCGUUAGUUGCCAUCUGGUAAUGCAGGGGACUCUAGCGAAACUGCCACCGUAAGGUGAGAGGAAGGUGGGGAUGACGUCAAAUCAGCACGGCCCUUAUGUCCAGGGCUACACACGUGCUACAAUGGGCGAUACAGAGGGAAGCAAGGCCGCAAGGUAGAGCUAAUCCCUAAAGUCGUCCUCAGUUCGGAUUGCAGGCUGCAACUCGCCUGCAUGAAGUCGGAAUCGCUAGUAAUCGCGGAUCAGCUACGCCGCGGUGAAUACGUUCUCGGGCCUU
Molecule: ribosomal RNA, 460 nt
Filed under: uncultured Sphingobacteriales bacterium
Lineage: Bacteria; Pseudomonadati; Bacteroidota; Sphingobacteriia; Sphingobacteriales
Description: bacterial SSU rRNA
Rfam family: Bacterial small subunit ribosomal RNA
Source: RNAcentral